Molecule: long non-coding RNA, 178 nt
Organism: Phascolarctos cinereus (koala)
Lineage: Eukaryota; Metazoa; Chordata; Mammalia; Diprotodontia; Phascolarctidae
Source: RefSeq, a predicted model, not a curated record
UCUGUUUCAGGAGCAAUGCAAAAGGCUUAUCCUGUGUACCUAUGUGGAAUCUUCCCUGGCCUACGUGUAUGAUGAAACUGAGGCCCAGACAGUUUAAUAGAUAUGACCAUAAAACUCCCACUAUUACUUCAAGAAUUGAACAAUUGAGAUGGACUCUUAAGGCCUGAAGAUAAAAGAU